Molecule: long non-coding RNA, 2206 nt
Organism: Nyctereutes procyonoides (raccoon dog)
Lineage: Eukaryota; Metazoa; Chordata; Mammalia; Carnivora; Canidae
Exons: 2
Source: RefSeq, a predicted model, not a curated record
CUGGACGGCCCUUAUGACUUUGCCAAUUUUCUCUUCUCGCUGCUUGUCUUCCUCCCCAAAGAUGGAGCUGACAUUAGAAGAUACGACAUGAAGAGCCUGGAAUAUGCCAUUCCCAUCCUGACACCAAGAAAAAAGCUGGACCACACUGCAAAGCAAUGACAUCUCUUGUGCUCAACAGAAAUAUGAGGUUGCAAGAAAACCUCCACUCUGAAACCUGGAAAGACGCACAGCUCCAGGGAGAUACAGCUAAGAUCUGUUGACUUGUUCCCGAAGUUGCUGGAACCAUGAACUGUCAAGAACACUGAUGAAUUUUGAUGAAUUGCAGGAGGCUGAGUGUAGAUUAGCCUGAGAGUGACAAAUUCCUGAGGACUUCAGUCUUAAGGGACUCCACACUUUUGUGAAUGUCACCUCCAAGGACUUCACCAGGUUUCCAUGGUGAAGAUCUGAGAAAGAUCCCCUCAUGGCUUUGGCAUGGGGAGAGGAAGAAUAAUCAUUGAGAUAUACACCAAGAGAUUUCUCCAUGAUAAAGGCCUAUAUUUCAGAGGGAAGGACUUUAGCAACAUUUUAUCCCAGUCAAGGAAAGGGCAUUCCUCCCACUCCAGCACCCUAUAGACUUCCUGUUUUACCAAAGGGAAUGGGAGUGAGGAAUAGAGUCAACAGGUGUCAGAGUUUCAAGGAGGUAGAUUGAGGAUGGCACAUCCAGGAGAGGGAGAAAAGAUCAGGUGGAAAGAAGUUACACCACUGGAAAGUCACUAGUGAAGGUCAUAGCCCCAAGACGCAAACACAAGCACUUAGAUUUGGUUGCAAGAUUAUAGAAUGUUUCCCCUUCCCACUCCUUGCCACCAUACCAACAGACUCCAAUAUAAUAACAGUGGCCUGCAGCUGAGAAAGCUGUAAGAUACAGACUCUCUGAGAAGGAGUACUUAGGGAAGCCCAAAGUCUGGAAGAAAGACCAAAACAAGGACACUAGAGAAAUCUGAAUUUCUGGCACUUAUGGCACUAAACAGUCUAACUCCCAGCCAGAUUAAAAUAGACCCUCACACUGAAGGCUUAUCAACCUCAGUUCUUAUUACCUAAUACCACAUUUUCUGCUUUCAACAGAAAAUUACAAGGCAUGCCAAAAAGCAAGUGGAAACAUAGCCUGAAGAGACAGAGCAGUCCUCAGAACUGGAUUUAGAUAUGACACGGAUGUUGAAAUUAUCAAACAGGGAAUUUAAAUAGCUGUGAUUAAUAUGUUAAGGGCACUAGUGGAAAAAAAGUAAGCAACAUACAAGAAAGGAUGGGUAAUGUAAGCAAAGAGAUGGAAUUGCUAAGAUAGAAUAAAAAAGAAAUGUUAGAAAUCAGAAAUACUAUAAAAGAAAUAAAGAAUGCCUUCAAAGUGUUCAUCAGGAGACUCAACACAGCCUAGGGAAGAAUCAGUGAGCAGGGGGAUAAAGAAAUGCAAAUAGAAAAGGGAAUGGGGGGAGGGGACCCAAAUGGACCAUCCAGGAACUGUGAGAUAAGUUUCAAGGGUAUAAAAUACCAAGGAGAAGCAUGAGGGAAUAGAAUAGAAAAGAAUAUGCAGUGAUAAUGAGAACUUUCCAAAAUUAAUGAUAGACACCAAACCACAGAUCCAGGCAGUUCAGAGAGCAAGAAUCAGUGUUUUCCAAAAAAUCUACACCUAGGCAUAUCAUUCAGAUUUCCAAAAAUCAAAGGCAGAAAAUCUUGAAAUAAGUGAGAGGGGGAAAAAGCAUUGCACAUAUAGAGGAAGAAGUAUAAUAAAUACAGUGGACUUCUCAUCAGAAACCAUGCAUGCAUGCAAGAAGACAGUGGAAUAAAAUAUUUAAGAUGUUAAAAUAAACAGACUACCGGCCUAGAACUCUGCAUCGUGCAAAGUUGUCCUUCUAACUGAAGGAGAAAUAAAGAUGUUCUCUGACAAACAAAAACCAAAGGAAUUUAUCACCGGUAGGUCUGUCCUACAAGAAAUGUUAAAAAGAAGUUCCUUAGUGGAAGGAAAGUGAUAUAGGUCAGAAACAGAAAUCUAUAUAAAGAAAAGAAGAACGUCAGAGAAGGAAUAAAUGAAGCACCUGUCCCCAGGUGGAUAGAACCACAUCUGUCUCAUCUUGGCAUAACAAGUUCACAUCUACAUCUGUGAAUGAUGAGUAUAUUUUGUAAGGAAACAGUCUAUUCUUGCAAUCUUGCAAUUGAAUAAAAAAAUAAUCACAUA